GCCUUUAGCAAACAUUCCCCCAGUAUUAAAGGUCCUGCCUGCCCAGUGAAACUUCUUAAACGGCCGCGGUAUUCUAACCGUGCAAAGGUAGCGUAAUCAUUUGUCUUCUAAAUAAAGACCAGUAUGAAUGGCUAAAUGAGGACAAACCUGUCUCCUGCACCCCAUCAGUGAAAUUGAUCUUCCAGUCCAAAAGCUGGAAUAUAAGCAUAAGACGAGAAGACCCUGUGGAGCUUAAAAUUUAUCCACUACAACAAACUAGUACAAAAUUUUAAGUUGGGGCGACUUCGGAGCAAAACAAAACUUCCGAGCACAGAACCACUAAUUCUUUACCAAGGCAAACAAGCCUAAGAAAACUGACCCAGUCAUACUGACCAACGAACCAAGUUACCCCAGGGAUAACAGCGCUAUCUUCUUCAAGAGCCCAUAUCGACAAGAAGGUUUACGACCUCGAUGUUGGAUCAGGGCACCCCAAUGGUGCAGCCGCUAUUAAAGGUUCGUUUGUUCAACGAUUAACAGCC
RNAcentral lists this ribosomal RNA (518 nucleotides) under Concinnia brachysoma (Northern barsided skink). Its description in RNAcentral is "Concinnia brachyosoma (Northern barsided skink) partial 16S ribosomal RNA". It matches the Rfam family "Bacterial large subunit ribosomal RNA", at positions 1818 to 2595 of the family's 2925-position model. Lineage: Eukaryota; Metazoa; Chordata; Lepidosauria; Squamata; Scincidae. The record is from RNAcentral.